GGGAGGUAGACAUGAGGAGAUAAGGGAAUCGGAGGAAUAUGGUCAGGAUAAUGAAUUGGUUGAGCAGUAGAUAAGAAGCUGAGGAGGAGGAGGAGAUAUGUUGAAAGCAUUUAAUACUUUUUGAAAAGUAUAUACCAUCAUGGCAUUACUCUCAGAGAUGGUGAUUGGAAUGAGAUGCACAUAGGACUUGAAUUUAUGAGAAAGUCAUUAUAUCAACCAAAACAACACCCGUUAUGGCUUUUAUCAAUAAAUCCGACGUUUAUACAGUAUCCAGCAGGCCCAAAGUGACAUGAUCCAAAUUCUAGUAUUAUUUUUAUAGCACACGUUUGAAAAGAAAGCAGCGAUGCUGAAUCAAUGCUUGAGGCUAAUAAACGAAGUGUGCAUAUUGAGUGGCCAUGAGACGCACCAGGUCCAAUGCCUGAGUCACAAAGACAAAUUGAAUAGCCAUGUGUGUUUAUUGGCUUAACUCUGCCUAAAAUAAAUAUUCCUUCUUUACCGUACUUGUUUCUAGAACAGAUUCUGGUUCAAACAAAUGUUACUGUUAAAAGAGGUUGUUGUGUUUUACGGUGAGGAUGUUAUUACGGUAGCUGCUUUUUUAAAACGUAUAUUUAUUCCAAAAUGUCAUUGCCAUUACUCAUGUUAUUGUAAGCUUGAUGACGGCGUGACCCCGAGAUUCCAGUUAAAAAUCACGUGCAUCAUCGUCACUGGAUCUAAAAAUGGGAUUAGUUGCCGGCAUGUGACCUUUUACAGAAAGGGGAAAUAUUGGGAGAUGGAAGAAAGAUCAGUGACGGAUUGAGUGUGUCGUUUCAUUUCUGCUAUUAUAGCCUCCGCUGGUGUUGUUGCUGCUCUUGCUCUGCUUUUCGUGAUUGUUAUAGUUGUUUGCUUUCUACAAAACCUUUGCAAACGCACUUCUGGAAACUUCUGUUGCAAUACAUCGUGGUGAAGAUGGAUUCAAGGCGUACGGUACACUUUGCACCUAGAAUACAGCCAACAAUGUCCUACUUCCUGGUCUGUCUCCACCCGCGAGCUCAAAGCUCAAAGCUCAAGGAGCUGUCGCCCCGCAACGACUUGAAGGUCAUUCUUUACAGAGCCCUUGGAUUACGAAGUGUGAUCCCAUCGAACGCCAGGAGGCCGGAGACAAAAGAGGAGGCUGCGGUGUACUAAAAAGUUGGUAGAAAGAAAGCGACAAAAGCAUGAAUGGUUCAAGAGGAAAACACAUGCCAG
This is a long non-coding RNA of Aplysia californica (California sea hare), 1224 nucleotides long. RefSeq lists it as uncharacterized. The transcript has 3 exons. Lineage: Eukaryota; Metazoa; Mollusca; Gastropoda; Aplysiida; Aplysiidae. The record is from RefSeq and is a predicted model, not a curated record.